AGUGAACGCUGGCGGUAGGCCUAACACAUGCAAGUCGAACGGCAGCACAGUAAGAGCUUGCUCUUACGGGUGGCGAGUGGCGGACGGGUGAGGAAUACAUCGGAAUCUACUUUUUCGUGGGGGACAACGUAGGGAAACUUACGCUAAUACCGCAUACGACCUACGGGUGAAAGCAGGGGAUCUUCGGACCUUGCGCGAUUGAAUGAGCCGAUGUCGGAUUAGCUAGUUGGCGAGGUAAAGGCCCACCAAGGCGACGAACCGUAGCUGGUCUGAGAGGAUGAUCAGCCACACUGGAACUGAGACACGGUCCAGACUCCUACGGGGGGCAGCAGUGGGGAAUAUUGGACAAUGGGCGCAAGCCUGAUCCAGCCAUACCGCGUGGGUGAAGAAGGCCUUCGGGUUGUAAAGCCCUUUUGUUGGGAAAGAAAAGCAGCAGGUUAAUACCCCGCUGUUCUGACGGUACCCAAAGAAUAAGCACCGGCUAACUUCGUG
Molecule: ribosomal RNA, 492 nt
Filed under: uncultured bacterium
Lineage: Bacteria
Description: partial 16S ribosomal RNA
Rfam family: Bacterial small subunit ribosomal RNA
Source: RNAcentral